UACGAAGGGGGCUAGCGUUGUUCGGAAUCACUGGGCGUAAAGCGCACGUAGGCGGAUCUUUAAGUCAGGGGUGAAAUCCCGAGGCUCAACCUCGGAACUGCCUUUGAUACUGGGGAUCUCGAGUCCGGGAGAGGUGAGUGGAACUGCGAGUGUAGAGGUGAAAUUCGUAGAUAUUCGCAAGAACACCAGUGGCGAAGGCGGCUCACUGGGGCCUUUCUGACGCUGAGGAACGAAAGCAUGGGGAGCAAACAGG
Molecule: ribosomal RNA, 253 nt
Filed under: uncultured bacterium
Lineage: Bacteria
Description: partial 16S ribosomal RNA
Rfam family: Bacterial small subunit ribosomal RNA
Source: RNAcentral